RNAcentral lists this ribosomal RNA (252 nucleotides) under uncultured Bacteroidales bacterium. Its description in RNAcentral is "partial 16S ribosomal RNA". It matches the Rfam family "Bacterial small subunit ribosomal RNA", at positions 524 to 776 of the family's 1533-position model. The record is from RNAcentral. Lineage: Bacteria; Pseudomonadati; Bacteroidota; Bacteroidia; Bacteroidales.
UACGGAGGAUGCGAGCGUUAUCCGGAUUUAUUGGGUUUAAAGGGUGCGUAGGCGGUAUGGUAAGUCAGCGGUAAAAGCCCGGGGCUCAACCCCGGCGAGCCGUUGAAACUGCCGUGCUAGAGAGGAAGAGAAGUAUGCGGAAUGCGCGGUGUAGCGGUGAAAUGCAUAGAUAUCGCGCAGAACUCCGAUUGCGAAGGCAGCAUGCCGGCUCCACACUGACGCUGAGGCACGAAAGCGUGGGUAUCGAACAGG